UGACUGAAGCUUGUACAAGCCUUCUAACAGGCUUUGAGGUAAGUAAAGAAUGUUCACAUAAUGUUACCGCAUAGACAGUAUCCCCUGAUGCUCUGUUGGGCGUUCGGGAAGAAAAGCCGAAUAGAGGAUCAAAGAAUUCGCAGGAGUCUAACAAAAGGAGUCAAUAUGUGUAUGCGGGCUUCUCUGCUAGCGUCCGCCGCACUGACUGCGGAAGCGGACGUGCUAAAGCAGAGUCUCGAGAAGUCCGAGCAAGAGCUCGGGCGUGCCAAGAAGCAACUCGAGGAGAAGGAAGGUAAGAAAUACCUUGUUUGAAUAUGUAUAUAAAAAAGGUGCAAUUGCAAAAAAUGAUAGGACUGACAUGGCUAUUGCAGGGGCCAUGUCUGAGGUGGCGACCCUUAAGCAAGCGCUGCUCGAGGCCGAGAAGAGUGCGGCCGUGGAGUGCACCGAGCGGGAGAGGUAUGAGGCUGAGGUUGUCAAGGUGUGGCAAGAGCUCCAGGUUCUCAUGAAGAAACAUGAGAGUUUGGAGCUUGACUCGAAGACGCGAGCGUCCGAGCUCGCGACAGCUAUAGAAAAUGCCAAGUCUGCCAAGGCCGAGUGCCAGAAGACCCUCCAGGAGUUGGAUGAGGUGAAGAAGAUUGCGGCGGGUAAGGCAUUCUUUAUGCAAAGCAAACACAUAAACGUGAGUUACCUGUUACUUACCCGAAUUCAGAGCUCUCCAGGAGCGUUCGCAGAUCUUCCCCGGAGUGUAUCUGAUGCCGUCGCAUUCUAUCGAGCCGAGGAGGGCAGCUCGACGGAGAAGGUGUUCUGGUCUCAGUACACUGAGGCCGGACACCCCGUGCCCCUGAGCGACCAGCUGAAGCAACUGGUCGAGCUCCACAAGGCGGCCGAACAGGCCAUGAAGGGCCUCCUAGUUUGGCUGUGGCCUAGAGAGGCUCUGCCUGGGAGCUAUUUCGGGCUGGUGCGGCGGCUGGUGGAGGCCUGUCCGAGGCUUGAAGACAUCAAGCGCUCCAUCUACAUUGAAGGUGCCCGUAGGGCCCUCGCCCGUGCUAAGGUGCACUGGGGCAAGCUGGAUGCGGAGAAGCUUGUGAAGGACGGGCCACCGCUGGGGAAGGAGCAUCGCAAGCCCGAGAAUUAUUAUAAGGAUGUUCUGAAGGGUGCCCGCCUUGUUGCGGAUGAAUGUACCAAGGAUGUAUUUUUUGAGUAAAACCCGCUCGUGUUAUCCUGUGCGCUGAAAACUCGUUCAUAUGCGCUAAGCAAUGCUGCUUGAAUUUAAAAUAUUACCUUCUGUGCGGCUGUUUAUCAAUACUGAGAGAUGGUGAGUCAUCGGCUUCUGCCCCCAUGCUGCUAGUGCUGGGGUGUUCGGGGAUAAACCUGGGCGCUCUUUUUCCCAUAUUUCGGUCCUUCGAGGGAGGCGCUCAGCCCAACGAACAAGGCAAUCGGACUAUAAUGCGUGAACACUCUCACUUAGCCAUAGAAUUCUAUAAUUUUAAAUUUCGGCGAAGCCCCUAGUAUUCGGAAGACCGAUUUCGGGGCGCUAUCCACGCCUUGGCCGGACAGAGCCGACUCCUCGCCCGAAGCGGCAUAAGUCUUUAGGGACUCGAAAAAACCACUCGAACAGCGACCAGCUCUCGCUUCAUCAUGACAGUCAGUUUUAGCUUUCUCCACUGAGGUGCUCGGCCCAGCUCAACUGGGGCAUAAUCGCAGUGGUUCUCCUAGUGCUACCUUAGCCGAUAUAGCGGAACGUAAGGCACCAAAACAUAGGAGCCGGGCAAACCCAACUAUUGACCCAAGACAUGAUUCGGAGCCGAUGCAUAUAAUGCUAUAAGUUCGAGGUGCCGCACUUGUUAAAGUGUUCGGACUUCUCACACCAUGUUGAGGGGUACUGAAGCCCCUAGCGUAUUUUGGCCGUACCAAAGUGUACGGGUGCAACAUGUCAUUAAGGAACAUAUAUAUAUAUAUAUAUAUAUAUAUAUAUUAAAAAAGGUAAUGCAAAAAAUAGACAAAAGCUAUGCAUUGUUCAUUAAAAUAGCUGUGAUCAAAGCAGACCGAUACAAGUGAUGUGAUAAACGAAAAGUUGGACUAUUUAACAUGUUUGUUUCAGGGGCAAGCUAUGGGAUAGUAUGCGAAACGGGUAUACUGCUCGUGAUAGAGACCACCUGGGAUUUCCGUAAUGCGGCAUGGCUUGUCUGCUUCCCUGGUCCUUGCAUCAUUUGUGCGGCAAUUGAACUGCCGAACAAGCCUUCCGAAGAGUAGAGUCUUGGAAGUAAGAGAAAAGUGUAAAAAAAGUCGGCAGCCCCUGGUGCGGUUUAAGCCGUGUUUUGGGCGUGCCGUGAUGGUGCCCCUCCCCCUAUGCCUAUGGUAUUUCUAGGGCGUAGUUAUGUGCGCGAAGUACUGGCGUCUCCUUUUUGCGGAGGUUGGGGUUGGGGCCGCAUUGCUACGCCUGCUCGGAACGUGCCAAACGGUCUUGUUGUAGGUUACUCCGGGCGCGCUUGGCUGUGUCCAGACGUUUAAUGGCCGGACUGGAGAACUGCCUGGAGAGGCUGCUUUGUACUUCCGCUGCAAGGGCCGCCAUGUGCUCCUCCGUUCGAAGGAUGCGUUCGGUGUUUCCAUUGACCGUAAUUACUCCUUGAGGGCCUGGCAUCUUGAGCUUAAGGUAUGCGUAGUGCGGGACCGCAUUGAACUUGGCGAAUGCGGUUCGCCCGAGCAGUGCAUGGUAGCCACUGCGGAACGGGACUAUGUCGAAGAUUAACUCCUCGCUUCGGAAAUUAUCCAGGGAUCCGAAGACCACUUCGAGUGUGACUGAGCCUGUACAGCUGGCCUCUACACCUGGUAUUACGCCUUUAAAGGUCGUUUUGGUGGGCUUAAUCCUCGAGGGAUCUAUGCCCAUUUUUCGCACUGUAUCCUGGUAAAGCAGGUUCAGGCUACUGCCGUCGUCCAUAAGGACUCUAGUAAGAUGAAAUCCGUCAAUAAUUGGGUCGAGAACCAAUGCGGCGAAUCUGCCAUGACGGAUGCUAGUGGGAUGGUCUCUUCGAUCAAAGGUGAUCGGGCAGGAGGACCAUGGGUUGAACUUUGGGGCGACUGGCUCUACCGCGUAUAUGUCCCUUAACGCGCGCUUCCGCUCCCUCUUGGGGACGUGGGUGGCGUAUAUCAUGUUCACCGUCCGCACUUGUGGGGGAAAACCCUUCUAUCCAUUGUUGUUCGGCGGCCGGGGCUCCUCGUCGUCAUCGCUAUGCAACCCCUUGUCUUCAUUGUCGGCGCUUAAUCUGCCUGCCUGCUUGAACACCCAACAGUCCCUGUUGGUGUGAUUGGUCGGCUUUUCGGGGGUGCCAUGUAUUUGGCACAAGCGGUCGAGUAUUCGGUCCAAGCUGGACGGGCCCCUGGGAUUCCUUUUGAAUGAUUUUUUCCGCUGACCGGAUUUAGAGCCUCUGAAUCCGGCAUUAACUGUUGUAUCCUUAGCAUUGUCGCUGUUGAUGCGACGCUUCUGUUGGUUGCGACACGACCUGCCACUAAUGUCCCUGGUGUCCGAACGACUAGGGUUCUUGGUCAUAUUGUUGCUUCGAGCAAGCCAGCUGUCUUCUCCCGCGCAAAAGCGGGUCAUGAGUGCCGUGAGUGCUGCCAUAGAUUUCGGCUUCUCUUGUCCUAGGUGCCGAGCAAGCCACUCGUCACGGAUAUUAUGCUUGAAGGUUGCUAAGGCCUCUGCGUCCGGACAGUCGAGUAUUUGAUUUUUCUUUGUUAGGAACCGUGUCCAGAAUUCCCUGGCCGAUUCAUCUGGCUGCUGAAUUACGUGGCUUAGGUCGUCAGCGUCUGGGGGUCGCACAUAAGUGCCCUGGAAAUUGUUGAGGAAUGCGGCUUCCAGGUCCUCCCAACAGCUGAUUGACCCUGUUGGCAGGCUAUUACGCCACUGCCGAGCUGGUCCUUUAAGCUUAAGUGGGAGGUAUUUGAUGGCGUGGAAAUCAUCGCCGCGGGCCAUGUGGAUAUGAAGGAGAUAAUCCUCGAUCCAUCCCGCAGGAUCUGUUGAGCCAUCAUAUGAUUCGAUGUUUAUGGGUUUGAAACCCUCGGGGAUUUGAUGAUCCAUUAUUUUGUUUGUGAAGCACAAUGGGUGUGCGGCGCCUCUGUAUUGGGCGAUAUCAUGAUGUAGCUCCAAUGAGCUUUCUCUACUGUGUUCGGCCCUGCCGAAUCUGGGGCCGGCAUGACGGUUGUCGUCUCGAGUCGUGGGGUGCCUACGCGAUCCGUAGAUCGAUCUUGUUUGCCUUGUCUUGUCCUCCAACAUGUCUCGUAGGUCCGGCGCAUAUUCCCGUGCCUUGGUACAGGGUGCGGCUUGGGUGGAAGGCCAUGAGGCCUCUCUGUCGCGACCACGAGGUGGCCUGUCGGCCGCGUCGAGUGCUUCCUCCUCUAAUCGGGGUAGCAACCUGCGCUUCGGGUAGCACUUGGAGGGGAGUUCGGGUUUAUGCUCUUCGGCCGCAAGGACUUCAGUCCAUCUAUCGACUAGCCGAUCUUGAUCAGCUUUAAGUUGUUGCUGUUUUUUCUUGAGGCUUCUUGCCGUGGCCAUAAGCCUGCGUUGAAAACGCUCUUGUUCGACGGGAUCCUCCGGCACGGCAAAUUCGUCGUCGUCAAGGCUUGCCUCGUCUUCGGAGGGAGGCAUACAAUUAUUGUCCUCGACCUCUCUGUCGGCCGCUCUCUCAUGAGGGCUGGUUUCUCCAUCCUCCUGUGUUAAAUCUUGCUCGGGGGGAUGUUCUUCGGCGCUUUCCGGGGUAUUAUUAUCUCCCGUGCUGGAAUCACCAUUUUUGUGUUGGCGGGAUUUUGAGCGGCGCCGCUGACGCCGGCGCUUUUGCUGUUUCUUGGAGGGGUCAUCCUCCGAUGUUCCAUCGCCCUCUCCCUCUUUUGGGGUGUCCACCAUGUAUAUGUCAUAUGAUGAGGUGGCUUUCCAGGGCCUAGUGGGCGCUAGUUCUUCAUCAUCUCCUUCAUCGGUGUCCAUACCGUCGAUGUCUUCGGAGUCGAAGUCGAGCAUGUCGGUUAAGUUGUCGACAGUGGCUACAAAGUGGGUGGUGGGUGGGUUUUGAAUUUCUUCAUCGUCCGUACCCCAACCUUGCUGACCAUAGUCCGGCCAGGGCUCUCCUGUCAAAGAGAGAGACUUCAGUGAUUUCAGGAUAUCGCCGAAAGGCGAGUGCUGAAAGACGUCCGUGGCCAUGAACUCCAUGAUCGGCGCCCAGUCGGAUUCGCUCGGCAGGGGCGCGAAGAGUUCGGAGUCCGGAGAAGAAUCCGGCUCCAUGGAGUCACGAGUCUUGCAGAGUACGGGGCUGGUGUUCGGCUCAACUGCCGUUGGGAUCGCGGCCCCCGAGGUGGCAUCCAACCGCCCAUCCUCGAUCGACGCGGUCGGCUCCGAACUAGGGGUCGGAGCCGAUGCGGGUGCAGCCUCCAGGGCUCUGUUCGGCGGCAGACCUAGAUCAUACUCGUCGUGACAGAGCGGCGUGCUCGGCAGUGGUUCGAAUCCGUUGAAGAUCAAGUCCCCACGGAUGUCGGCCGUGUAGUUUAAACUUCCGAAUCUGACCUGACGGCUAGGGGCGUAGCUUUCGAUCUACUCUAGAUGGCCAAGUGAAUCGGCCCGCAGUGCAAAGCCGCCAAAGACGAAGAUCUGUCCGAGGAGGAAGGUCUCACCCUAGACUGCAUCGCCAUUGAUGAUCGUAGGAGCCAUCGGGCCUGACGGCGAUGGCACAAAGGAACUCUCAAUGAAAGCACCAAUGUCGGUGUCAAAACCGGCGGAUCUCGGGUAGGGGGUCCCGAACUGUGCAUCUAGGCCGGAUGGUAACAGGAGGCAGGGGACACGAAGUUUUACCCAGGUUCGGGCCCUCUCGAUGGAGGUAAAACCCUACGUCCUGCUUGAUUAAUAUUGAUGGUAUGGGUAGUACAAGAGUUGAUCUACCACGAGAUCAAAGAGGCUAAACCCUAGAAGCUAGCCUAUGGUAUCAUUGUUGAUGUGUAUGUUGUCCUACGGACUAGAACCCUCCGGUUUAUAUAGACACCGGAUAGGGUUAGGGUUACAUAGAGUCAGUUACAAUGGUAGGAGAUCUGAACAUCCAUAUCGCCAAGCUUGCCUUCCACGCCAAGGAAUGUCCCUUCCGGACACGGGACGGGGUCUUCAAUCUUGUAUCUUCAUAGCCCAGGAGUCUGGCUGAAGGUAUAGUCCGGCUAUCCGAACACCCCCUAAUCCAGGACUCCCUCAGCAGGCAUGCCAAAAACGGGUCUAUGUUUAUCCUUUUCAUCAGGUUUGGCAAUUCUAGCAGCUUCAUCAUAGAAGUAAAUAACAUGCCCAUCUAUAUUUUCUACCAGGAGAUUUUUAACCAUAGCAACACUAGGUUCUACCUUGAUUUGUUCAGCUGGUUUUGGUGUUCUAAUAUAGCUUUUAUUGACCACAAUUGAAACUUUAGCAUGUGCCUUUAUCCUAACAGGAAAAGGUGGUUUUUCAAUAUAAUCAGUAGGAACAACUGGAUCAACAUUAUAAAUAAUAGUUUCAUCUUUAUCUAUUACUGGUUCUUUAAUUUCUUCUUUAAUAGGUGGGUGAUAUUUAAACCACUUCUCCUUAGGGAGAUCAACAUGGGUAGGAAAUGAUUCACAAAAGGAGGCUACUAUCUCAGAGUCAAGUCCAUAUUUAGUGCUAAACUUUUGAAAAGCAUCGGUAUUCAUAAAAGAUUUAACACAAUCAUACUUAAGCUUAAUACCUGACUCUUUACCUACGUCGAGUUCCCAAUCUUCAGAGUUGCAUUUAAUUCUUUCUAAAAGAUCCCAUCGGAAGUCAAUAGUCUUCUUCAUAAAGGAACCAGUACAAGAAAUAUCGAGCAUGGAUCGAUCAUCGUGAGAAAGCUAAGCAUAAAAAUUCUGAAUGAUAAUUUCUCUUGAGAGCUCAUGAUUGGGGCAUGAAUAUAACAUUGACUUAAGCCUCCCCCAAGAUAGAGUGAUACUUUCUCCUUCACGAGGCCAAAAAUUAUAUAUGUAAUUCCGAUCACGAUGAACUAGAUGCAUAGGAUAUUUUUUUUUGGUGAAACUCCAAUUUCAAUCGAUUCCAGUUCCAAGAUCCGAUAUCAUCGCAUAGCCUAUACCAUGUCAAUGCUUUUCCCUUCAAAGAUAAAGGGAAAACCUUCUUCUUAGCUUCAUCUCCGGGUAAACCUGCAAGCUUAAAUAAUCCGCAAAUUUCUUCCACAUAUAUCAAGUGCAUAUCAGGAUGUUCGGUUACAUCUCCUACAUAAGGAUUAGCUAGCAGUUGUUUUAUCAUACCCGAAGGAAUUUCAUAACCAAUAUUUUCAGUAGGUGCAUUAGGUUGAGGGGUGACUAAUUGUGGUUCCGGUCGAGGUGAAUAUACCCCGAACAAACUCCUCAAAGGAUGGUUUUCCAUAAUAACAAGUGACAGUAAAUUUCAGCACGUAGUGAUAAUUUUUCCUUACCAAUCUCCACUUACCAAGAGUGCUUCACUCCCCGGCAACGGUGCGAGAAAAGAGCCUUGAUGACCCACACGUAUAGGGGAUCAAUCGGAGUCCUUUUGUUAAGUAAGAGUGUCGAACCCAACGAGGAGCUGAAGGAAAUGACAAGUGGUUUUCAGCAAGGUAUUCUCUACAAGCACUGAAAUUAUAAGUAACAAGUAGUUUGAUACCACAUUUGGUGGUGCUUCUCGAGUACACGGUCUCGAGUUCCAGGUUUUUUUUAAAGGAGGAGUCCCUCGGCAUGUGCAUCAAAAUGACGCAUAAGAGUUCCGAGGUGAAAACCCUAGGUCUGACAUGAGUUGUUAUACUUGGCAAUGAUGAUGUUUUUGCAUCAUUACCUUGUUAAAGACAUUGCUCGGAUAAGUAGACUUGUUCUUUAGGUUGAAAACCUAGGAUCUGACCUUUGGUGGUUAGAUCUGGUGAUGAUGAUGCUUGAGCUUUUUUCCUCCCGAAGGCGUUAAGAACGUUUCUCUGGGUGCAUGGUUGGUGCGGUUAUGGUCAGUGACAUAGUUUAUCCGUCUCUUUAUUUUGUGAUUUUUUUUUCUUAUUUUUUUCUCUUCUAGUUAUCAAUAUCUUUGUUCUAAGAUUUCUUUCUUUUUCCUUCUGUAGUUACCGAUCUCUUUGGUUUGGGGUUUUUCUUCUUUUUCCUCUUGUAGUUACGGAUCUCUUUGUUUUGAGGUCUUCUUUCUUUUUCCUUUUGUAGUUAUCGAUCUCUAUGGUUUGGGAUUUUUCUUCUUUUUCCUUUUGUAGGCAUAACCUUGAUCUUGUAUGGCUUUGCUUUUUGUUAGUGUGUUCUUUUUUCAUGUGUGUGCUGACGUUGAUUGUGUGCAUCCUAAUUAUUCGAAGGUGGGGUGUAUGCUUAUUAUAUUUUCACUCCCUUGAUAUUCUAUUUUAAGCCAAUAAAUUAAUACUUUGUCAAAAAAGAUGAUCCAAUUUUACUAACCAGCUCCGUUAGUUUACUGUUUGUUUCUUUUCGUAAAAAGAAAGUUUACUGUUUAUUUAACCUCAUGUUAUUUUUACAGCGUUAUAAAAUUGUGUUGUUAUUUUCCGCAACGAAAAUAAACAAAGUUAGGCAAAGCUGAAGUAGUAUCAAACACGCACGGUUGAUAUCUGCAACUUAAAGCAUCUACAGCCGGGCGCCCCAAACCCGCCUCAAACGUCCGGGCGGACAGCCCGGUCACUGAUCAGUCACAAAAAAAUUUAUUCAGAAGGGCUCCUUAAACGGGCCUCAAACGCCCAAGCUGACCGGCACCACUCGUACCCAUCCUAAAUAUGUGACGCUCGGGCGCGCCUGGGCACGUCCGCCACAUCAGACCCGAUAGCCCUACCCCACCUCAAAUUGCACCAAAUCCACCAAACGCCCCCCCCCCCGNNNNNNNNNNNNNNNNNNNNNNNNNNNNNNNNNNNNNNNNNNNNNNNNNNNNNNNNNNNNNNNNNNNNNNNNNNNNNNNNNNNNNNNNNNNNNNNNNNNNNNNNNNNNNNNNNNNNNNNNNNNNNNNNNNNNNNNNNNNNNNNNNNNNNNNNNNNNNNNNNNNNNNNNNNNNNNNNNNNNNNNNNNNNNNNNNNNNNNNNNNNNNNNNNNNNNNNNNNNNNNNNNNNNNNNNNNNNNNNNNNNNNNNNNNNNNNNNNNNNNNNNNNNNNNNNNNNNNNNNNNNNNNNNNNNNNNNNNNNNNNNNNNNNNNNNNNNNNNNNNNNNNNNNNNNNNNNNNNNNNNNNNNNNNNNNNNNNNNGUCGCGCACCAAACCCUGCACCACAUCCGUCCAUCCACCAGCGAUGAAGAGGAUGAUAUUUUCAUUGAGAAUGGAAGAGCCAACGUGCCAAAGAAUAACUGGCAAGUCAUGGUAAACAAGUGGGAGAAGGCCCUCUAGUGACGCCAUGGCUACAAAAAUGUCCUCCACAUGGACGGGCAUUUUUUCGGCGAGGGAGAACAAGAGGAGAGGUUCAAGCUCAUGUUGGAUGUGUUAAAGGAGAUGAUGGAUUGGGACCGGAAGAGGGUGGAGAAGAAGCUGAAAAUUUAGAGGGAGAAGAUUGAGUUGGAGAAGCAAUAGGAGGCGAUCAAAUGGGAGCUCGAGAAGACCAAGACAUUUUGAGAGAUUGAGCUUGAGAAGGACAGGUUGCAACUCGCACGAAAAUCGGAGGAUGCAAAGAUCAUGUUGGCGGGAAAAACCCUCUUGGAUGAGCAUGCAAAGAAGUGGCUGAUGACCCACAAGUAUAGGGGAUCAAUCGUAGUCCUUUCGAUAAGUAAGAGUGUCGAACCCAACGAGGAGCAGAAGGAAAUGACAAGUGGUUUUCAGCAAGGUAUUCUCUGCAAGCACUGAAAUUAUAAGUAACGAGUAGUUUGAUAGCAAGAUAAUUUGUAAUGAGCAAGUAACGAUAGUAGUAACAAAAGUGCAGCAAGGUAGCCCAAUCCUUUUGAGGCAAAGGACAGGCCAAAACAGUCUCUUAUGAUAAGCAAAGCAUUCUUGAGGGUACACGGGAAUUUCAUCUAGUCACUUUCAUCAUGUUGGUUUGAUUUGUGUUUUCUACUUUGAUAAUUUGAUAUGUGGGUGGAUCGGUGCUUAGGUGUUGUUCUUACUUGAACUAACCUCCUACUUAUGAUUAACCCCCUCACAAGCAUCUGCAACUACGAGAAAAGUAUUAAGAAUAAAUUCUAACCAUAGCAUUAAACUUUUGGAUCCAAAUCAGUCCCUUACGGAAUAGCGCAUAAACUAGGGUUUAAGUUUCUGCCACUCUUGCAACCCAUUAUCUAAUAACUACUCCACAAUGCAUUUCCUUAGGCCCAAAUAUGGUGAAGCGUCAUGUAGUUGACGUUCACAUGACACCAUUAAGGUAAUCACAACAUACAUACCAUCAAAAUAUCGAACACAUAUAAGAUUCACAUGAUUACUUGCAACAAGAUUUCUCCCGUGAUCUCAAGAACAAAAGUAAUUACUCAGAAAUGAUAAUCCUGCUCAAGAUCAGAGGGGUAUUAAAUAGCAUAAUGGAUAUGAACAUAUAAUCUUCCACCAAAUAAACCAUAUAGUAAUCAACUACAAGAUGUAGUCAACACUACUAGUCACCCACAAGUACCAAUCUAUAGUUCCAGUACAAAGAUUGAACACAAGAGAUGAACUAGGGUUUGAGAGGAGGUGGUGUUGUUGAAGAUGUUGAUGGAGAUUACCCUCCCCAACAUGGGAGAGUUGUUGGUGAUGAUGAUGACGAUGAUUUCCCCCUCCGGGAGGGAAGUUCCCUCGGCGGAAUCGCUCCGCCAGAGGGCAAAAGUGCUCCUGCCCAAGUUCCGCCUCGAGACGGUAGCGCUUCGUCCUGAAAGUCCUCUCCUUAUUUUUCUAGGUCAAAAUGACUUAUAUACCAGCAGAGGGGCACCGUAGGUGGGCCGAGGAGGGCACAACCCACCAGGGCACGCCUGGCCUCCUAGCGCGCCCAAGUGGGUUAUGCCCACCUGGUGGCCCCCCUCUGGUACUUAUUGGCUCCAAUAUUUCUUAUAUAUUCCAUAAAAAUUCCCUGUAAAGUUUCAACUCAUUUGGAGUUGUGCAGAAUAGGUAGCUUGACGUAGCUUUUUCAGGUUCAGAAUUUCUGCUACCGGUAUUCUCCCUCGUUGUGUGUACCAUGCAUAUUAUGAGAGAAAAGGCAUUAGAAAUACUCCAAAAAGCAUUAUUAUACAUAAAAACAAUAUAAAUAGCAAUAGGUAAACAUGAUGCAAAAUGGACGUAUUAGUGGCUUGCAGAGAAGAAGGGGAUCAACGAGCUUAGGGAGGCGGCAAGGGCAGCAUCGGAGCAUGCAGCAAGGAUACAGGCGAAGCAUGUAGCUCAGAUGCAGGUGGAGCAGGAUGCAAGGAUGACCUCGGAGCAGGCGGCAUGGAUGGCGUUCAGCGAGUGAUCCGGCCAGCAAGCGAGACAUCCGUCACGAUCGGACAUUUAUUUCAUUUUGGUAUGUCCAGAUUGUUGAACUACGAUUUCCUUUGCUUUGUUUCGAACUGUUGAAUUUGAACAAUUAGUAUUGUAUGAUCAAUGUGCAUGGGUCGUAUGGAUUUGAAGCUCCACAUAUGAGGUAUGUGGAUGUGCGAUAACCCAUAUGAGGGGCCGCGGACGCGCUCGCGGGUGUAUAGGGGGGCAGAUUUGCCAAGUCCGGCUGUAGAUGCUCCUAAGGGCAUCUCCAACGCCGACCCUCAAACCGUAGGCAUAUGUUAGACCCCCUGUUCAAGAAUUCAUCCGAUUAACCAGUUAACUUGCCGAUUAAUCCCUACUCAUAGGGUCCCCGAGUAGCCGAUUACCCGAUAAAUCGUCCGAUUAAUUGAUUAAAUGGCCGAUUAACUUGCCAAUUAGCCUAUUAAUCCCCUACUCACCAGCCGACCGAGUAGCUACCAGUUAACGAUUUCCUCAACAAUGGUUAGACCGCGUCGUCCGAACCAUGGAAGUCAUCUAGCCCGAGUUUGUAUCGAUCCGCUCAGUUGUCCGGACCCAAUUUCUCCCACAAAGUGAAGACUAAGUGGGGUUGGUUUUUGUGGGAGUCCAGACAGCAGCCACGUUGGACUCAGACGCCCCAGGCCCACUAAAUCCGCCCUCCCGACCCAAUUUUCUUCCACUUUGCCACUUCUUUCCCCUGCUUUGCAUUCGCACCGUUCACCUAUGUCGCAGCCAUUGUACCUCUUCAGCCGCCACACAAGCAUUAUCAGACGUUUGUAACCAGCACCGACACGCCCGCUCGCCUUUACGGUGACGUUGUCCACUCUGGAGCCGUUUGUACCCAGGUACACUCCGUCACCUUUUCAACGACCUCCAUGGCGGCCACCCGUCCGGAAGGUGUUCGAUCAAAUGCCAUUGAGCUUAUUUUCGGACGCUAAGUCGUUUUUUCAGAAGAAGGGUGCUGGGGGUACUCAACCAUGGAGGAUGAGUUGUUAUGCGAUGCAUAGUUGGCCGUAUCUGCGGAUUUCGUAGGAAGUAGCAGAGAGGGCACCUUUCUUGCAGCAAGUGCAUGAAUCGUUUCACGAAUGAAAACACAUCGUGCCCUACGACAUGCACAUUAUCUAUGAUCGCAACGUGAGGUCAUUAUUGUAUUGAUGGCACACCAUCCAGACCGUCAUCACCAGGUUUUGUCAUGUAGUUGCUCAGUUGGAGGCAAGGUGACCAUUGCACGCGACAGAGGAGGAGAUCAUAAGCUUUGCUUCUUCUUUCUCAACUUGACGAUUGAAGCAUUCUUUCACUUGAUGUUGCUAUUCACAUUGUGUAGCCCGUGCGCACUGUCGUGAUGUAUCACAUGACAGAGAAAUGGCCAUUUACGUACACACACUAUUGGAUGAAGCUGAAGGGCAGUAUGUGUGGGAUGACAUGAUCCGUUGAAAACUUGUUGGACAUUGAAUUUGAGACAUUGUUGUACUUGCAUAUUAUGUAUGAAUGAUUUAUGUCAUUUUUCUUUCGAAUUUUCAUGAAUAUCAGCCGGUUUGCAUGAUGUCGUCUGCUAAGUCAAAACAUCCACUCCUGAAAAAAAUUGAAACAUCCACGGGCGCAUACCAGAGCAAAUUUGCUGGUAAGGGUUGAAGAUGCUCUUAUUAGAGCAUCUCUAGCAGACCUCGCAAAUCUCGCAAACCCGCAUAAGUCCGGCGAGUAUACGGGUUCCACCCAAUUUUCUGGCCAGAAUAGAGCCCGUAUACUCGUCCGACCCGUAAAUUUUUUUAUCACGGCCCGCAAAUCGCCCAGCAGAAGCACUAUAUCUACGGGUUUGCGAGGGAGGAUACGGGUCGAAACCCUAUCCCUCCGCCGCCGCGUUCCACCGCGAUUCCCCAUUGCCCCCUCGCAUUUCUCGCCGCCGGCGAGCCGCAACCGCCUCGAAACACCAUGUGGAGCUUCGGCCGCGGCUCCGGCGGUCGUUGUGACCCUGAGCGCGAGCUCGUGUCCGCUCGAACGACGCGAGGAAGCGCGGGGCCAAGAAGUGGACGAACCGGGGCCUCUCGCCGCCCUCGAGGUUCAUAUUAUGCAGUUUCAUAUAUGGUUUCUGUUCUGCCGCGCAUGUUUUCAACUGGCAAAUGAGAUCUUCAUCGACCUGUAAACGGCUUAUGCGGAUAGGGGUUGCGGGGUCUGCUAGAGAUGCUCUUAGAGCAUUACUAGUAGAACCCUCAAACCCUUAUAGCAGUUUUAAGGGUUAAGAAGUGCCAGUUUUUGACACUUUUAAGGGUUGAAAAACAGGGGCAAAGACUAGAACCCUCAAGCCCAACGCUUAAACUGCUUUAAGGGUUGGAUUUGAGGGUUCUAGUCUUUGCCUCAACCCCAACCUUUAAACUGUCAUUUCAUAUAUCACACAUUUCAUCACAUUUCAUCAUAUGACAUAUCACAAAUUCCAUCACAUUUGACAUAAAACAAUAAUCAUUCUAGUUAUUAUUACAACACCGAAUAAAACAAUAAUCAUUCAAAUUAUUACAACAAUGUUUGAGCAAAUUACACUAAUUGUUCGAAUCAAAUAGGACAUAGAAAAGUAAAACAAAGAUACAUCAUGGGCCAAUGCGCCGCCCAUCCAACUGCCAGUGGUGCUCUACUAGAUCAUCCCGGAGCCGACCAUGAGUGGUUGCAUCCUCAAUCUUACGAUGUGCUUGAAGAAAAGCGUGUAGGCGAGAAGGGUUUCUUUCCGGUUGCACACGGGUACCAACAUUGUCAUAGAAACAAGGGAGGUUUAACCCUCUCUCAUCCUCUAGGAUCAUGUUGUGUAGAAUCACACAACAUUUCAUGAUGUUCACCAAGGUUUUUUUGUCCCGAAACCGAGCUGGACCACGAACUAUGGCAAACCUUGCUUGCAAAACACCGAAAGCUCUCUCAGUAUCCUUGCGUGCUGCCUCUUGUGCCUUGGUGAAAUGAGCCUCUUUUCUUGUUAAGGGCACCCCAUUUUUCUCCUUGAUGGAUUUCACAAGAGUUGCCCAUUCGGGAUAGAUGCCAUCGGUGAGAUAGUAUCCCAUUGAGUACCCAUUGUCCAUGAUUUUGUAGUUGCAUUGUGGAGCAUCCCCAGAAAUUAAUCUUUUGAACAAAGGAGAUCUAUUGAGGAUAUUGAUAUCAUUGAGUGUUCCCGGCAACCCAAAGAAUGCAUGCCAAAUCCAUGUGUCCUGAGAUGCUACGGCCUCAAGCACAAUGGUAGCAUCACGGCUUUUACCGCAAUACAUUCCGUGCCAUGCCUUUGGGCAAUUUUUCCACCUCCAAUGCAUGCACUCGAGACUACCUAUCAUCCCCGGCCAUCCCCUUUUUUCAUUCAUUUCCAUUAAUCUCUUUGUAUCUUCCUUGUUUGGUGCCCGAUGAUACUGCUCACCGUAAAACCGGAUGAGCAACUUGGCAAACCUACGGACUGACUCCGUGGUUGUAUCUUGCCCAAUGCGAAGAUACUCGUCGGUAUAAUCCGCGGGUAUGCCAUAAGCGAGUACCCGCAUUGCCGCCGAUAUCUUUUGAUAUGCACUAAACCCCAUGAUACCGGCGGCGGAUCUACGACAUUUAAAGUAAUAGGAGGCGGCCUCAUAAUCGGUGACAAUCUUCACAAACAAACUACGCCGCAUUUGGUACCUUAUGCGGGAGAGACGAGGAGGGUAUGUAUGUACCUCCGCGAAGUAGUCUUCCAUCAAAUGCUCGUGUCCGAGAGCGCGGUUCCGGUAGAUGGUGACUCGCCCCAUCUUCGACCCUCUCCUCUGAUCCAUCAGCUUCACGCGGUUUUCAAACGAUUGCACGUCGAUGAGUAGGCUCAUCAUCUCGACACCGUCGUCUUGCAACAACUCGUUGAUGUCCGGAUCGUCGGAUGACGACCAACCCGACGAAUCGGACAACGAGUCCAUGGCGUCGUUGUUCACCUCCAUCUACACAAUACAACAAACAAUAAAUUAUGAGUGCCAACAAUGAACCAGAAAGGAAAAAAUAAAACAAUACACAAUACAACAAACAAUAAAUUGUGAGUGCCAACAAUGAAUCGGACAAUGAAUCAGAGCUCGAGGAGGCCUNNNNNNNNNNNNNNNNNNNNNNNNNNNNNNNNNNNNNNNNNNNNNNNNNNNNNNNNNNNNNNNNNNNNNNNNNNNNNNNNNNNNNNNNNNNNNNNNNNNNNNNNNNNNNNNNNNNNNNNNNNNNNNNNNNNNNNNNNNNNNNNNNNNNNNNNNNNNNNNNNNNNNNNNNNNNNNNNNNNNNNNNNNNNNNNNNNNNNNNNNNNNNNNNNNNNNNNNNNNNNNNNNNNNNNNNNNNNNNNNNNNNNNNNNNNNNNNNNNNNNNNNNNNNNNNNNNNNNNNNNNNNNNNNNNNNNNNNNNNNNNNNNNNNNNNNNNNNNNNNNNNNNNNNNNNNNNNNNNNNNNNNNNNNNNNNNNNNNNNNNNNGGCGGCGGGGAACGGCGGAUCCGGCGGCGGGGAGUGUGGCGCAGCCGGCAACGGCUGGCGUGCGUCGAGGGGAGGCGGGGGCCGGCCGGAUUGACGGCGGGCGAUGGCCGGCGGCUUGGGAGGGAGGAGGCGGGAGGUUGGGGACGGGAAAUUUCCCUCCCACGCGACGGGGAAAGGGGUGCGGGUUGGGGUCGAGUGCCCCUCUCCAACCCUCACUUCUACAGAUUGGAAUUGGGUUUGAGGGUUGGACCCUUACUCUUUUUUUAGGGUUUAAAAGUUUAGGGGUUCUAGUCUUUGUGUUUUUUUUAUUACAACCCAAAAAACACGGUUAUUUUUUAGGAUUUGAAGGUUUAGGGGUACUACUAGUAAUGCUCUUAGACCAGUACGAAAACGCGAUUUGACCAUGCCACCGCGCAACCGCAGCAUCCCUUCCACAGCCGUGCAGCGACAGCGACGCCACACCAAAACCAGCACGGGGAACACAGAGCGGUUGAGCCUUCCACAUCUCCUCACCCCACCCCACCAUCACCACCCUCCGCUGCAAGCAAGUGGAGGGAACUCAGCAGCAGCAGCAGCCUGCAGACGCAUGUGAAAAGCCACCGUGGUCCUCGUGGAACUCCAUCCAUCCAUCUAUCCGCGCCGGGAAGGGACGAGGUCCCGCCAUUAAAAAACAGCGCGGGACCGCGCUCCCGCGACCUCGAGGAUCUCGAAUCCCGGGAGAACCAUCCCUGCGCCGAGCUCUGAUCCGGCAACAAGUGGCCGGCUUGAUUCGAUUCGACUGGCUGCUUGUUUUACCCGCCACCACCACCUCUGCCGCUCCUCGGUUGUUUUCUUGACGCUGCCGACGGACCGUCCGUCCGUCCACCCCCACCUCGGGGCUUACCGUCCCCCCGCUGUCGCGUUUAGAUUAAUCAAUGCGGGCGGGNNNNNNNNNNNNNNNNNNNNNNNNNNNNNNNNNNNNNNNNNNNNNNNNNNNNNNNNNNNNNNNNNNNNNNNNNNNNNNNNNNNNNNNNNNNNNNNNNNNNNNNNNNNNNNNNNNNNNNNNNNNNNNNNNNNNNNNNNNNNNNNNNNNNNNNNNNNNNNNNNNNNNNNNNNNNNNNNNNNNNNNNNNNNNNNNNNNNNNNNNNNNNNNNNNNNNNNNNNNNNNNNNNNNNNNNNNNNNNNNNNNNNNAGGGCAACCCGCCAAGAACGAGGGCUCCUUCCUGCUCCCUCCUGCGUGCACUGUGGGAGAAGGUGAGGGACUGAGGAGAGGAGGAGACGGUGCUGUCAGUGGCGACGAGCGUCUGCAGCGGCGGCGGCGGCCAUGAGCUGGAGGAAAGCCGGAGGGGAUGGAGGCGUGUCCAAGCGGUGGGCCGUGCUCCUCUGCCUCGGGAGCUUCUGCCUCGGCCUGCUCUUCACCAACAGGUAAACCAGCACCCCCAAUUCCCCCUCCCGCUUCUUCAAUUUCUCUUCCAGAUUCCCAGCUCAGCUCAGCACGCGGAGCUCAGCUCAGCUCCGAGACUAGCUCGAGUUCAGCUGGAUCCGCGACGUCUCGCCAGCCUCUGCACCUCGAAUUUGUGAGAUUAGAGAUCGGAUGGCUGGCAGAUAGGGGGUGUCAAGGCUCGAUUUGGGGGUUUCUCGAUUCUGUCGGCAGCGUCUUCAUUCUGCCCCGCCAUCGAAUAAUCCAUGUGUUUUGGCUACUCUGGUCACGCAAAGUCUGAUUCUGAUGCUGCCGAAUUGCGGGUGCGUUAAGUAAGGCUCCAUGAAUUUAGAAAUUCGGUGGGUUUGCUGCCACAUCGGGCAAUUUUCCCUUACCACAAUCGGGGCCGAGUGCGGAUGAUCCUGCGCAGAAUCUCGAUAUAAUUGUAGAGACGAGUUAUUAUUGCUAGGUGAUGUAUCCUCCAACAUUGAAUAACUGUACUCCUACCCAGAACUGUAAAAUGUGAUCACAUCUUAAUCUUAUGAACGUCUACCUCUGUUCGGUCUCUUGAUGAAUUGGACUAGUCUUUUCCGUUGCGAUGCUAUUCGACCGCAAAGUUUAGGAAAUGAUUCUUGUGCAUUCGGAUUGCUUGAUCCAGAAUGUGGACACUGCCUGAGGCAACUGAGGUUCCAUUACCGAAUCAAAGCGUUGAGGAAGGCAAAGCUCUAGUUGCUGCAGAUUGUGGUUCAAAAAAGGUACUGGUGGUGUACUUCUCCCUCCAUUAAUCUCUGUCAAGUAUUCCAUAAUUGCACAUUGAUAUUCAUAUUGUACAGCAGCUGCACAAGUCAGUGUUAUAAAAGCAGAUUGCUGCUGUGUGAUGUGUAUUGUAAAUUUGUUAUAUUGUACCACCUGCGGUAAUUGCUGAUACAUAGUUUGAUUAUCAUGUGCUGCUAGGUUCAAGAACUGCAAAAAUACAAAGAUGUGUUACCAGACCAAGAUACUCAUCAUGAUGUACAGUACGUACCAAGUUUGUCAUUCUUGAGCACAUAUUUGUUCCUUUAUUGAAAGUAUCUUUUUACGAAAAAAAUGGUUCUGACUGACUGGCAUUUCCAAAUGUUUUGGUUGUAGGACACUAGAUAAGACAAUAGCGACCUUAGAGACAGAACUCUCGGCUGCUAGAACCCUGCAAGAGUCAUUGCUCAACGGUUCCCCUGUUUCAGAAGACUUCAAAGUUUCUGAGUCGAUUGGGAGGAGAAAGUACCGUAUGGUGAUUGGCAUCAAUACCGCUUUUAGCAGUCGCAAGAGAAGAGAUUCCAUACGUUACACCUGGAUGCCUCGAGGUUGCUGACGACAUUCAACUUUAUAGCUAACUUGCUUCGGAACAUUUCUUACCCUGCGAACUUUGAAAUAACUAAUAACAAAGUCUGAAAAUAGGUGAGAAAAGGAAACAACUUGAAGAACAGAAGGGGGUCAUAAUUCGGUUUGUCAUCGGUCACAGGUAUGGUGCAUAAAGAUUUUUAUGUGCAUUUAACUAUCAAGGCAUGAUAUUUGAAUAGUGAGAAGUUCUAGAUUAUUUAUUUAUUCAUGGUAAUAACGUGUCAUAAAUUGUACACAGUAACUCUUUUGUCACAACUUUUUUGCCAACGCAGUUGUAUAUCUUUUGUCAUUUUUUUUUGCGAAAUGCAACUGCAUGAUACUCCCUCCGUUCCAUAAUGUAGUGCGUAUAGAUUUUUUAGGAAGUCAAACUUCAUCUAUUUUGACCAAGUAUAUAGAGAAAAGUAUCUACAUAUAUAUUAUCAAAUUCAUACCACUGCAUACAACACAAGACAGACUUUCAUAUUAUAUUAAAUUUGUAUUAUUAUUGUUUAUAUUUUCUAUCUAAAUAAACUUGGUCAAACUUUGUGAUGUUUGACUUUGAGAAAAAACUACGCGCGCUACAUUGUGAAGGGAGUAUGAUUUAGGAGUGGUUUCAUCCAACUUUUGAGUUUAGUAAUAUCCGCAUACUGAUCUUGAGGCUUGAGGGGUCCUUUUAUUUGUUCUUUUCUGCAAGAGAAGGCUGUAGAAUAAUGGUUGUUAAGUACUGUAGUCUCAGUUUUCCACUUUAAAAGUGGCUUCAGAGUUUGGACAAGGUAUUUAUCGACGGAGAGGAUAUUGUUAAAAUAAUUUUUAUGCAAUAUAUAAAGGUUAAGUCAUGCAUAGCUUAUAGUAGUAGACGAGAAUGAAUGUACGUUUAUGGCAAGACAUGCAUAACCUCAUUCUCCACAUGAUGUGCAGUGCUAUAGCAGGCGGAAUUAUUGAUAGAGCAAUUGAAGCAGAGGACAGGAAACAUGGGGAUUUCAUGAAGAUAGUAAGUUGUUUGUUACUUAAAAGGAUAUUGGUUUCACAUGGGAGUGACGCUGUUAUUGUUGCCCUCAUUUGGACUGAAAUGCUAUUUUGUCCUCCCUGUUUACUGUGGUUACAACUUUGUGCAGGAUCAUGUCGAAGGAUACCUUGCCCUAUCUGGCAAAACUAAGACAUACUUUGCUACAGCUGUUUCAUUAUGGGAUGCAGAUUUUUAUGUGAAAGUUGAUGACGACGUGCAUGUGAACAUAGGUAAAAUCUCUAUAUUUAUGCCCUUUACAGCUCCAAGGUUAGGGGCUAAAUGAGUGUGUGCGUCCAUCUGUCAUUUCUGUACUCAAAGCUCUUAUUAAUUUCUUGAUGAUUAUCAAUGAUGUACCCUUUGUAUGUGUAGUUAACCACCCUAACUAGGAUAAUAUGCGGCUAUUUUUGCAUUCCUGUGCGUGAAAAAGGCCUUGACAUCCGAUCUUUCAUUUCCAGCAACGCUUGGACAGAUAUUGUCCAAACAGGCAUGGAAGCCAAGAGUAUAUAUGGGCUGCAUGAAAUCUGGCCCUGUCCUAUCUGAAAAGUAAGUAGUACAUUAUAGUCCAUACAUUAUAUGGAUCUCUCCUUCUCUUAGAGUUCAAAGGUGUUAAGAUCUGUUGUCUUUUUUUUUCUCCAGGGGUGUGAGAUACUAUGAGCCUGAGCAUUGGAAGUUCGGCGAACCAGGAAAUAAGUAUUUCCGACAUGCUACCGGUCAAUUAUACGCCAUUUCAAAAGAUCUAGCAACCUACAUAUCAAUAAACAAGUGAGAAAUCAUAAGUUCUCAUGUAAUCUCGCACUUCCAUCUUUUAUGGUUCUGGUGAAAGCUAAUUUUCUUGCUGCAAAUUUCCAUUUAACGCCAGGCACGUCCUACACAAGUAUAUAAACGAGGACGUUUCGCUAGGAUCUUGGUUCCUCGGGUUAGAUGUCGAGCACAUCGAUGACCGGAGACUCUGUUGCGGUACUCCACCUGGUGAGCUUCCAUUACUCCCAUGUCUUAUAACUCCUUAAUUUCCGUGACAAUAGCACGUCGAUGAGGACAUUCAAUCACAUCCUGAACUCGACUCUGCUCACAGACUGCGAAUGGAAAGCUCAGGCAGGGAACACCUGCGCGGCGUCAUUCGACUGGAAGUGCAGCGGCAUAUGCAACUCGGAAGGCAGGAUCUGGGAGGUGCACAAUAAGUGCGCCGAGGGCGAUAAGGCGCUGUGGAAUUCCACUUUCUAGCGUGGUCGGAACCCUGACUGAACCAGAAGAAGCUCUCCUCUCCUUCAUGUUUGUUAGUUGUUGUAUACUAGAUCGCCCCACGGUGCUGUGUAUGUAAUUCAUCCUGUAGGUAUAGCUGUGGUUUUGACUGUGGGACUGGCUGACACCGACGAAGCGGACCACAAUUUUACGUAGCGUCUGUCCGCCGGUGGCGCCGGAGGCGAAGGUGAAGGCGAAGCAGGGUAUACGAGCUGUCGCCGCAUUCUUUUGGUGGAUAAAAUGUUGCAGGUGGCCAUUCUGUACCGAUCUCCUGUGCUGUUUGGCUACCACAGAUGUAUGACCGAAAUAAAACGUCCCUGAAUCCUGCAUUUCAGUGCAUUCUGGACUAGUAUUGUGUUUGUAACAG
This 21162-nucleotide long non-coding RNA is filed under the name Triticum aestivum (bread wheat). Its description in RNAcentral is "long non-coding RNA (TAES_LNC010022)". The record is from RNAcentral. Lineage: Eukaryota; Viridiplantae; Streptophyta; Magnoliopsida; Poales; Poaceae.